Molecule: ribosomal RNA, 253 nt
Filed under: uncultured bacterium
Lineage: Bacteria
Description: partial 16S ribosomal RNA
Rfam family: Bacterial small subunit ribosomal RNA
Source: RNAcentral
UACGUAGGUGGCAAGCGUUAUCCGGAAUUAUUGGACGUAAAGAGCGCGCAGGUGGUUAAUUAAGUCUGAUGUGAAAGCCCACGGCUUAACCGUGGAGGGUCAUUGGAAACUGGUUGACUUGAGUGCAGAAGAGGGAAGUGGAAUUCCAUGUGUAGCGGUGAAAUGCGUAGAGAUAUGGAGGAACACCAGUGGCGAAGGCGGCUUCCUGGUCUGCAACUGACACUGAGGCGCGAAAGCGUGGGGAGCAAACAGG